Molecule: transfer RNA, 116 nt
Filed under: Lasiosphaeria miniovina
Lineage: Eukaryota; Fungi; Ascomycota; Sordariomycetes; Sordariales; Lasiosphaeriaceae
Rfam family: tRNA
About the family: Transfer RNA (tRNA) molecules are approximately 80 nucleotides in length. Their secondary structure includes four short double-helical elements and three loops (D, anti-codon, and T loops).
Source: Rfam by way of RNAcentral
GGCAAGGUAGCCAAGCGGUCUAAGCGCCAGGUUCAGGACUACUUGAGUUCUACAGAUUUCUCCGGAAUCUUCCUGGUCUCAGUAAUGGGGCGUGGGUCCAAACCCCGCCCUUGUCA